AGAGAGAGGGAGUUCUUCAAUGCAAUGGAGCUCGUUCUUGCGCUAUCAAAAGAGAUUAAUUUGGUGGAUUAUAGGCCAUCUGUUAUUGCUGCUGCUGCCGUACUAUCGUCAUCUUCUGAUGCUGAGUUGAGUAGAAAAGCAAUGGAACUUAAAACAAGUAGAAUCUCAUUAUGGGAUUCUCAAGAUAAUGAGCAUAUAUUCGUCUGUUACAACCUUCUUCAGGGAAUAAUGAAG
Long non-coding RNA from Eucalyptus grandis, 234 nucleotides. RefSeq lists it as uncharacterized. NCBI's taxonomy places the organism in Eukaryota, Viridiplantae, Streptophyta, Magnoliopsida, Myrtales, Myrtaceae. The record is from RefSeq and is a predicted model, not a curated record. The transcript is spliced from 3 exons.